UGCCCGGUAGCUAAAUGCGGAAGAGAUAAGUGCUGAAAGCAUCUAAGCACGAAACUUGCCCCGAGAUGAGUUCUCCCUGACUCCUUGAGAGUCCUGAAGGAACGUUGAAGACGACGACGUUGAUAGGCCGGGUGUGUAAGCGCAGCGAUGCGUUGAGCUAACCGGUACUAAUGAACCGUGAGGCUUAACCUUACAACGCCGAAGCUGUU
RNAcentral lists this ribosomal RNA (209 nucleotides) under Escherichia coli. Its description in RNAcentral is "partial 23S ribosomal RNA". It matches the Rfam family "Bacterial large subunit ribosomal RNA", at positions 2739 to 2925 of the family's 2925-position model. RNAcentral also lists the same sequence under 2 other names. Lineage: Bacteria; Pseudomonadati; Pseudomonadota; Gammaproteobacteria; Enterobacterales; Enterobacteriaceae. The record is from RNAcentral.